CACGGAGGUGACACAGGAGCUGACACAUGAAGGUGACACACAGGUGACACAGGAGGUGACACAGGAGGAGGUGCCACGGAGGUGACACAGGAGCUGACAC
Molecule: long non-coding RNA, 100 nt
Filed under: Phasianus colchicus (ring-necked pheasant)
Lineage: Eukaryota; Metazoa; Chordata; Aves; Galliformes; Phasianidae
Description: lncRNA (ENSPCLG00000020200.1)
Source: RNAcentral